RNAcentral lists this ribosomal RNA (465 nucleotides) under uncultured Klebsiella sp. RNAcentral's name for it is "bacterial SSU rRNA". It matches the Rfam family "Bacterial small subunit ribosomal RNA", at positions 338 to 795 of the family's 1533-position model. The record is from RNAcentral. Lineage: Bacteria; Pseudomonadati; Pseudomonadota; Gammaproteobacteria; Enterobacterales; Enterobacteriaceae.
CCUACGGGAGGCAGCAGUGGGGAAUAUUGCACAAUGGGCGCAAGCCUGAUGCAGCCAUGCCGCGUGUGUGAAGAAGGCCUUCGGGUUGUAAAGCACUUUCAGCGGGGAGGAAGGCGUUAAGGUUAAUAACCUUGUCGAUUGACGUUACCCGCAGAAGAAGCACCGGCUAACUCCGUGCCAGCAGCCGCGGUAAUACGGAGGGUGCAAGCGUUAAUCGGAAUUACUGGGCGUAAAGCGCACGCAGGCGGUCUGGCAAGUCGGAUGUGAAAUCCCCGGGCUCAACCUGGGAACUGCAUUCGAAACUGGCAGGCUAGAGGCUUGUAGAGGGGGGUAAAAUUCCAGGUGUAGCGGUGAAAUGCGUAGAGGUCUGGAGGAAUACCGGGGGCGAAGGCGGCCCCCUGGACCAAGACUGACGCUCAGGUGCGAAAGCGUGGGGAGCAAACAGGAUUAGGUACCCCUGGAGUC